AUUCCUUCCCCGCAUCUGCUAGAGAGCAGGGCAAGGCCAAAGGGUCAGAGGCUCGAGGAAUGCGGGGUGGUGUCGGGGGGUAAAAGGACAUACCUGAGAAGGCCCCAGACCCUCGCUCCACCAGGAGGUAAGGAAACUGAAGCCUCAGGCGAAGAGAUGAUUUCAAAGAACUUCAGAGCUAAGAGUCUUCUUCGACUAAAGAACUUGAAGGGCCAGUUCCAGAGACCCUGUGACCUCAGGCUCCAGAGAUGGCUCCGUAAGGCAAACUCACCAUGACCACUGGUCAAUGACUCACUUCUCCUCCCAGGCGCCCUCCCAGGGAUGAGCGCUCCUUCACUCUGCCUCCCUCAGCCCUUGCUCCGGUCUCUCUGCAGCUGGGGUCAGUGUUCCCAGUGAAGUCAGCGUGUGGAGCACACAUGCCUCGUACCCACAUUCAUGCCCAUGUGUGCGUGUGCACACGCAUGUGGGGCCUGUGUGUCUCUUUCUCUGAGACCCACUCAAGAUCUGCAUGCACCUCGGGCCCCCUCCCAGAGUGCUGCAGCCAGAUGCACCUGGAGCCCCACCCGUCAGCCCAGGGAGACAUGCCCCUGCUGAAUUCAGAGAAUGAUCCAGAAGGAUUCAGGAAAUGAGGACCAUUCAUGAACCCAGCGACUGAUGAAGAGCACCUUCCUCACAUCCGCUGCCAAACUCACCCGAAAAGAAGAGACAGAGGAAGACCCCAGAGGAUUGCAAUUUGAGGACACCUCCAACUCAUGCUCACUGCACUUGGUCCAAAAUGAUCAGAGGGGAGAUUUGGCUCAUGCUCUGGCCUCACUGGCUCCCAUCACCAUUGCCUCUGCCCCUCCAGCCUCUGCCAGGCGCCUGGCUCUGACCCUUGCUGACACUUCAGGCCCCUCACCCUUAGAACUGACUGCCAAAGGGCUAGUUGCUUAGUCUUCAAGUAAAGGGGGUCUGGAGGACUAUGGAGGAGGCAUAGUGCCUAGAGAGCCCCUCGCCUCAAGACACCCCCACUGCACUUGGGAGGAAAGGCAGGGCUGGGGGAUGGAGGCACUGUGGGGGCCUUUCCUAUUUGGCAGCAGCUGCAGCCAUGCGCACCAUAGCCACAGCACGCAGCACACAUCUUCUGUCUCACAGUGAUUGAAGAUUUUGCCAAACCACCGGUCAGACAGAUUUCCCCCCAAGCCCCACAUUAAUUGAUUUUUGGAUUCUGCAACCCAAGCUCAAGCUCAAGCUCCGAGCUCACUGCUGAGCUCAGACUCCUGGGUGUCCCACAACGGCUUCGAUGUGGAGGCCAUGACGCUGAAGCCAAAGUUGUCAGACACCUGGGCUGCACUUGCCUGUGCAACGAGCCUGGGAAAGCAGCUCUGGGGAUUGCACCCACAGUGCCAGGGCUCGGGAGCCUCUGAGCUCAGGGAGGCCUUCAGGGACAGGCGCUCGGCCAGCUGCCUGGGUAGGCUACUAAUGAGCAGAUGUGUUCCAGGCUGUCUGCCCAAGGGGCAGCUGCACCUGGGCUGGAGAGCUGAGACUCUCUGGGGUUCUGCAGCCUCUGUCCUCCUCAGCCUGGCCCGACAGCCCCUCGUUCUGAUACAGGAGGGCACAGCUGCCUGACGCCCCUCCUUCCCCAUCUCUGCCUCUCUAAUCUUCCUUGAGGAAGAUUCCAUCAGAGGUUUUACUUACAUAUUCCUACACCAUGCCUGGAACAUAGUAGGUACUCAAUAAAUCCAACUUUUCCUGAGUUAGUGGUGAGGAAAAGCUGGACUCAGGAUCAGGCUGCCUGUGAAGCCUGGCCUGUAGCCUGCCAGCUCUCCCAGCCUCAGGGUCCUCACACCCACACGUGUGUGCAGUAACAGAGCACUUCUUGCCUGCAACAGUGCCUGGUUCCCAGUGUAUGCCACUGGGAUCCGUAUUAUUAUUAAGUGAUCCGUAUUAUUAUUUUAUCUUAAGAGAGGAAUCCAGCUGUGUCCAAAUGAGGGGUUGGGACAAAAUAAAAGCUAGAAUCCAGUCUUGCAGGUGGGGACAUGGCACCUGGGUCUCCACACUGACCCGUGCUGCCCACCCUCUCACAUGCUAUCUAGAGACGGCACUCCUUGUGGAAUGCUGCAGGAGGUGCUCCACUGGCACGAAGUGGGUGGGCUCUUAGCACAGACCCAAACAGUAAGUGACUUUUCACACUCCCAUCGCAUCUCCAAAGCUACAUGCAAAACACUGAUCUUCACAGGGGUUAGAACACAACUUCCAGAAGGCCUCUUUCUUUUUUUUUUUUUUCUCCCUUUUUUUUUUUUAUUAUUAUACUUUAAGUUCUGAGAUACAUGUGCAGAACAUGCAGGUUUGUUACAUAGGUAUACAAGAGCCAUGGUGGUUUGCUGCACCCAUCAACCCGUCAUCUACAUUACGUAUUUCUCCUAAUGCUAUCCCUCCCCUAACCCCCAACCCCCUGGCAGGCCCCAGUGUGUGAUGUUCCCCUCCCUGUGUUCAUGUGCUCUCACUGUUCAACUCCCACUUAUGAGGGAGAACAAGCAGUGUUUGGUUUUCUGUUCCUGUGUUAGUUUGCUGAGAAUGAUGGUUUCCAGCUUCAUCCAUGUCCCUGCAAAGGACAUGAAGUCAUCCUUUUUGAUGGCUGUAUAGUAUUCCAUGGUGUAUAUGUGCCAUGUUUUCUUUAUCCAGUCUAUCAUUGAUGGGCAUUUGGGUUGGUUCCAAGUCUUUGUUAUUGUGAACAGUGCUGCAAUAAACAUACGUGUGCAUGCGUCUUUAUAGUA
Long non-coding RNA from Homo sapiens (human), 2756 nucleotides. RefSeq lists it as uncharacterized. The transcript is spliced from 3 exons. NCBI's taxonomy places the organism in Eukaryota, Metazoa, Chordata, Mammalia, Primates, Hominidae. The record is from RefSeq and is a predicted model, not a curated record.